GACUAUAAGACCCUGAGGUUCGGUGGACUGUCGCUGGCUGUGGUGUUGUUCACAUUGGGAAUACUUCUCAUUCUCAGUCGACGGUGCCGUUGUGGAGCUAACAAAAAAACAAGGACAUCUGGUGAUGAGGAGGCACAGGAGGAAACCAUGAUUAUCUCUAA
Molecule: long non-coding RNA, 161 nt
Organism: Periophthalmus magnuspinnatus
Lineage: Eukaryota; Metazoa; Chordata; Actinopteri; Gobiiformes; Gobiidae
Exons: 3
Source: RefSeq, a predicted model, not a curated record